UCGCGGCCUAUCAGCUUGUUGGUGAGGUAAUGGCUCACCAAGGCGUCGACGGGUAGCCGGCCUGAGAGGGUGACCGGCCACACUGGGACUGAGACACGGCCCAGACUCCUACGGGAGGCAGCAGUGGGGAAUAUUGCACAAUGGGCGGAAGCCUGAUGCAGCAACGCCGCGUGAGGGAUGACGGCCUUCGGGUUGUAAACCUCUUUUAGCAGGGAAGAAGCGAGAGUGACGGUACCUGCAGAAAAAGCGCCGGCUAACUACGUGCCAGCAGCCGCGGUAAUACGUAGGGCGCAAGCGUUAUCCGGAAUUAUUGGGCGUAAAGAGCUCGUAGGCGGUUUGUCGCGUCUGCUGUGAAAUCCCGAGGCUCAACCUCGGGCCUGCAGUGGGUACGGGCAGACUAGAGUGCGGUAGGGGAGAUUGGAAUUCCUGGUGUAGCGGUGGAAUGCGCAGAUAUCAGGAGGAACACCGAUGGCGAAGGCAGAUCUCUGGGCCGUAACUGACGCUGAGGAGCGAAAGGGUGGGGAGCAAACAGGCUUAGAUACCCUGGUAGUCCACCCCGUAAACGUUGGGAACUAGUUGUGGGGACCAUUCC
RNAcentral lists this ribosomal RNA (592 nucleotides) under Microbacterium sp. Its description in RNAcentral is "bacterial SSU rRNA". It matches the Rfam family "Bacterial small subunit ribosomal RNA", at positions 231 to 835 of the family's 1533-position model. Lineage: Bacteria; Bacillati; Actinomycetota; Actinomycetes; Micrococcales; Microbacteriaceae. The record is from RNAcentral.